This 17-nucleotide microRNA is filed under the name Anopheles gambiae (African malaria mosquito). RNAcentral describes it as "aga-miR-10369-5p". Lineage: Eukaryota; Metazoa; Arthropoda; Insecta; Diptera; Culicidae. The record is from miRBase by way of RNAcentral.
UUCAUUAAAAGGGGCUA